Molecule: signal recognition particle RNA, 314 nt
Filed under: Candidatus Bathyarchaeota archaeon
Lineage: Archaea; Thermoproteati; Candidatus Bathyarchaeota
Also listed under: 2 other names
Description: signal recognition particle sRNA
Rfam family: Archaeal signal recognition particle RNA
Source: RNAcentral
CGGUGGGUCUUAGGCGGGGGGCUAGGGGUCCCCUGUACCGUAAACCCCCUAUAUGACGGGCCGAAAGCUGGGGCUGAGGCGCCCAUGGCCUCCCUGAACCCAUUUCCGAGGCAAUGACUUCCCGUCCCCUGGGGCUAACGGUCGCCGUGCAGCCUCCGUAGGGAGGCUUGUUACGGCGUUUACCAGGCGAACCUGGCCAGGCCCGGGAGGGAGCAACCUAAGCCUGGACGUUUAGCGCUCAGGGGGGUGCGGGUACGAGCGUAGGUUUGGGGUCUCCGGGAGGAUUCUGGGCGUCGAACCCCAGUGACCCACCG